Molecule: ribosomal RNA, 1433 nt
Filed under: uncultured bacterium
Lineage: Bacteria
Description: bacterial SSU rRNA
Rfam family: Bacterial small subunit ribosomal RNA
Source: RNAcentral
AGAGUUUGAUCAUGGCUCAGAACGUACGCUGGCGGCACGCCUAACACAUGCAAGUCGAACGAAGUAGCAAUACUUAGUGGCAGACGGGUGAGUAACAUGUAGGUAUCUGCCCUUUGGCCUGGAAUAACACGAGGAAACUUGUGCUAAUACCGGAUAAGUCUUUACGGAGAAAGCUUUAUGCACCAUUGGAUGAGCCUGCACUUGAUUAGUUUGUUGGUGGGGUAAUGGCCUACCAAGACUGUGAUCAAUAGCUGAUUUGAGAGGAUGAUCAGCCACAUUGGGACUGAGACACGGCCCAAACUCCUACGGGAGGCAGCAGUGGGGAAUCUUGCACAAUGGAGGAAACUCUGAUGCAGCGAUGCCGCGUGAGUGAAGAAGGCCCUUGGGUUGUAAAGCUCUUUCGUCGGGGAAGAAAAUGACUGUACCCGAAUAAGAAGGUCCGGCUAACUUCGUGCCAGCAGCCGCGGUAAUACGAAGGGACCUAGCGUAGUUCGGAAUUACUGGGCUUAAAGAGUUCGUAGGUGGUUGAAAAAGUUAGUGGUGAAAUCCCAGAGCUUAACUCUGGAACUGCCAUUAAAACUUUUCAGCUAGAGUAUGAUAGAGGAAAGCAGAAUUUCUAGUGUAGAGGUGAAAUUCGUAGAUAUUAGAAAGAAUACCAACUGCGAAGGCAGCUUUCUGGAUCAUUACUGACACUGAGGAACGAAAGCAUGGGUAGCGAAGAGGAUUAGAUACCCUCGUAGUCCAUGCCGUAAACGAUGUGUGUUAGACGUUGGAAAUUUAUUUUCAGUGUCGCAGGGAAACCGAUAAACACACCGCCUGGGGAGUACGACCGCAAGGUUAAAACUCAAAUGAAUUGACGGGGACCCGCACAAGUAGUGGAGCAUGUGGUUUAAUUCGAAGAUACGCGCAGAACCUUACCAACACUUGACAUGUUCGUCGCGACUCUGAGAGAUCAGAGUUUUCGGUUCGGCCGGACGAAACACAGGUGCUGCAUGGCUGUCGUCAGCUCGUGUCGUGAGAUGUUGGGUUAAGUCCCGCAACGAGCGCAACCCUCACUUUUAGUUGCCAUCAUUAAGUUGGGCACUCUGAAAGAACUGCCAGUGAUAAGCUGGAGGAAGGUGGGGAUGACGUCAAGUCCUCAUGGCCCUUACGUGUUGGGCUACACACGUGCUACAAUGGUAUCUACAACAGGAAGCAAAACUGCGAAGUUAAGCAAAUCCCUAAAAGAUACCUCAGUUCGGAUUGCACUCUGCAACUCGAGUGCAUGAAGCUGGAAUUACUAGUAAUCGUGGAUCAGCGUGCCACGGUGAAUGCGUUCCCGGGUCUUGUACACACCGCCCGUCACACCAUGGGAGUUGGUUCUACCUUAAGGCAAGGUUUCAAACCCUUGACCACGGUAUAGUCAGCGACUGGGGUGAAGUCGUAACAAGGUA